CCGAGUUUACAACUCCCAAACCCCUGUGAACAUACCACUUGUUGCCUCGGCGGAUCAGCCCGCUCCCGGUAAAACGGGACGGCCCGCCAGAGGACCCCUAAACUCUGUUUCUAAAUGUAACUUCUGAGUAAAACCAUAAAUAAAUCA
This 147-nucleotide unclassified non-coding RNA is filed under the name soil metagenome. RNAcentral describes it as "partial internal transcribed spacer 1". The record is from RNAcentral.